GGAGGAGCUUGCGUCACAUUAGUUAGUUGGUGGGGUAAAGGCCUACCAAGACUAUGAUGUGUAGCCGGGCUGAGAGGUUGAACGGCCACAUUGGGACUGAGACACGGCCCAAACUCCUACGGGAGGCAGCAGUAGGGAAUUUUCGGCAAUGGAGGAAACUCUGACCGAGCAACGCCGCGUGAACGAUGAAGUAUUUCGGUACGUAAAGUUCUUUUAUUAGGGAAGAAUAAAUGAUGGAAAAAUCAUUCUGACGGUACCUAAUGAAUAAGCCCCGGCUAACUAUGUGCCAGCAGCCGCGGUAAUACAUAGGGGGCAAGCGUUAUCCGGAAUUAUUGGGCGUAAAGGGUGCGUAGGCUGUUAAAUAAGUCUAUGGUCUAAGUGCAAUGCUCAACAUUGUGAUGCUAUAAAAACUGUUUAGCUAGAGUAAGAUAGAGGCAAGUGGAAUUCCAUGUGUAGUGGUAAAAUGCGUAAAUAUAUGGAGGAACACCAGUAGCGAAGGCGGCUUGCUGGGUCUUUACUGACGCUGAGGCACGAAAGCGUGGGGAGCAAACAGGAUUAGAUACCCUGGUAGUCCACGCCGUAAACGAUGAGUACUAAACGUUGGGUAAAACCAGUGUUGAAGUUAACACAUUAAGUACUCCGCCUGAGUAGUACGUACGCAAGUAUGAAACUUAAAGGAAUUGACGGGACUCCGCACAGGCGGUGGAUCAUGUUGUUUAAUUCGAAGGUACCCGAAAAACCUCACCAGGUCUUGACAUGCUUCUGCAAAGCUGUAGAAACACAGUGGAGGUUAUCAGUUGCACAGGUGGUGCAUGGUUGUCGUCAGCUCGUGUCGUGAGAUGUUGGGUUAAGUCCCGCAACGAGCGCAACCCUUAUUGUUAGUUGCCAGCACGUAAUGGUGGGGACUUUAGCAAGACUGCCAGUGAUAAAUUGGAGGAAGGUGGGGACGACGUCAAAUCAUCAUGCCCCUUAUGACCUGGGCUACAAACGUGAUACAAUGGCUG
RNAcentral lists this ribosomal RNA (1004 nucleotides) under 'Scaphoideus titanus' phytoplasma. Its description in RNAcentral is "bacterial SSU rRNA". It matches the Rfam family "Bacterial small subunit ribosomal RNA", at positions 223 to 1236 of the family's 1533-position model. Lineage: Bacteria; Bacillati; Mycoplasmatota; Mollicutes; Acholeplasmatales; Acholeplasmataceae. The record is from RNAcentral.